Carica papaya (papaya) is the source of this 760-nucleotide non-coding RNA. The record is from RefSeq and is a predicted model, not a curated record. NCBI's taxonomy places the organism in Eukaryota, Viridiplantae, Streptophyta, Magnoliopsida, Brassicales, Caricaceae.
GAGUACACUGGCUUUUAGACUAAUAUGAUUUCUAUAUCUUCUUUACAGAUCAGAAUACCACAGCUUUUAAAGAGGUAGCAAUUAUACGUCAUCCACGUGUUGGUGAAUAUGCUUUUGGUUUCAUCACAUCCACUGUCACUCUUCAGAAAGAUGACGAAGAUGAAGAGCUAUGUAGUAUAUUUGUACCAACAAACCAUCUGUAUAUUGGUGAUAUAUUCCUUGUUAAUUCCAAAGAUAUUAUAAGGCCAAAUUUGUCAAUUCGAGAAGGCAUAGAGAUCAUUGUUUCUGGAGGAAUGACAAUGCCUCAAAUCAUUUCUCCUAUUGAAAGAGUUGCUCGGCAAGGGGAAAGAAUCCCAAUGAACAGAAUGACAUAAUUCAUCAUCAAAUAGGCAUAUAUGCCAGGCAUCGGUAAUUACUUGAAUUGCAAUUGCACAAUUCAUUCACAUAGGAAGGUUUGUUCUGGUCGUGGGUUGCUCGAAAUAGAAAGAUAAAACUACCAUGUUGAGUUAGAUUUUGUAAGUAACAGCAAUCUAGUCUAUUUUAAUUUCGAUGCGGCAUACCUUCCGCAAGUUUGUAUUCUAUCAUAAGAAACAACUUUUUCAGUCUAAAGAGAGAGGAACUCUCUCUCUCUCUCUCUCUGACUAUGAGAAAAGAUUCAUUAAAAUUUAUUUGUAGUGAUUAAAAUUUUAUUAUUCUCAAGAAUGGAUGUAGUGUUGAUGAUUCUUCUUUCGUAAUAUUAUAAAGGAUAUAUUACACAGUA